RNAcentral lists this ribosomal RNA (1201 nucleotides) under metagenome. RNAcentral describes it as "bacterial SSU rRNA". It matches the Rfam family "Bacterial small subunit ribosomal RNA", at positions 316 to 1498 of the family's 1533-position model. The record is from RNAcentral.
GCACUGAGACACUGGCCAGACUCCUACGGGAGGCUGCAGUCGAGAGUAUUUUGCAAUGGGCGCAAGCCUGACAAUGCGACGCCGCGUGGGGGGAAGGCCUUCAGGUUGUAAACCCCUUUAGUGUAUUAUGAAGGGCCGGUUUGCUAAUAUCAGGCCGGUUACACGACGUAAGUACAUAAAUAAGCUCCGGCUAACUCCGUGCCAGCAGCCGCGGUAAUACGGAGGGAGCGAGCGUUAUUCGGAAUCACUGGGCAUAAAGAGCACGUAGGCGGCAGGGCAAAUCAAGAGUGAAAUCCUUCGGCUCAACCGGGGCACUGCUUUUGAAAAUUUCCUGCUAGAGGAUGAGAGGGGAGAGUGGAACUCUUGGUGGAGCGGUGAAAUGUUUAGAUAUCAAGAGGAACGCCGGUGGCGAAAGCGACUCUCUAGCUCAUUUCUGACGCUGAGGUGCGAAAGCCAGGGGAGCAAAUAGGAUUAGAUACCCUAGUAGUCCUGGCCCUAAACGAUGGGCACUAAGUAGAGGGGGCUCCGAUGUCUUCUCUGCUGAAGCUAAUGUGUUAAGUGCCCCGCCUGGGGAGUAUGGUCGCAAGGCUAAAACUCAAAGGAAUUGACGGGGGCUCGCACAAGCGGUGGAGCAGUGGCUCAAUUCGAUGCAACGCGAAGAACCUUAUCCCGGGCUUGACAUGUCAGUGGUACUGAACCGAAAGGGGAGGGACUCCGAAAGGAGAGCUGUCACAGGUGCUGCAUGGCUGUCGUCAGUUCGUGUCGUGAGAUGUUUGGUUAAGUCCUUUAACGAGCGAAACCCAUGCCCUUAGUUGCUACCAGGUAAUGCUGGGCACCCUAGGGGGACUGCCCAUGUAAAUGGGAGGAAGGUGUGGAUGACGUCAAGUCCUCAUGGCCUUUAUGCCCGGGGCUGCACACGUGCUACAAUGACCGGUACAAAGGGAUGCAAUACCGCAAGGUGGAGCCAACCCCAUAAAGCCGGCCUCAGUUCAGAUUGGAGGCUGAAAUUCGCCUUCAUGAAGUUGGAAUCGCUAGUAAUCGCGAAUCAGCAAUGUCGCGGUGAAUAUGUUCCCGAGCCUUGUACACACCGCCCGUCAAGCCACGAGAGCUGGUAGCGCCCAAAGUCGUCUACUCAAUCCUUAAUCGGGAAGAGAGAUGCCUAAGGCGAGACUAGUGAUUGGGACUAUGUCGUAACAAGGUA